AUUGAACGCUGGCGGCAUGCCUUACACAUGCAAGUCGAACGGCAGCACGGGUGCUUGCCCCUGGUGGCGAGUGGCGAACGGGUGAGUAAUACAUCGGAACAUGUCCUGUAGUGGGGGAUAGCCCGGCGAAAGCCGGAUUAAUACCGCAUACGAUCUACGGAUGAAAGCGGGGGACCUUCGGGCCUCGCGCUAUAGGGUUGGCCGAUGGCUGAUUAGCUAGUUGGUGGGGUAAAGGCCUACCAAGGCGACGAUCAGUAGCUGGUCUGAGAGGACGACCAGCCACACUGGGACUGAGACACGGCCCAGACUCCUACGGGAGGCAGCAGUGGGGAAUUUUGGACAAUGGGCGAAAGCCUGAUCCAGCAAUGCCGCGUGCGUGAAGAAGGCCUUCGGGUUGUAAAGCACUUUUGUCCGGAAAGAAAUCCUUGGCCCUAAUACGGUCGGGGGAUGACGGUACCGGAAGAAUAAGCACCGGCUAACUACGUG
Molecule: ribosomal RNA, 486 nt
Filed under: uncultured bacterium
Lineage: Bacteria
Description: partial 16S ribosomal RNA
Rfam family: Bacterial small subunit ribosomal RNA
Source: RNAcentral